RNAcentral lists this ribosomal RNA (404 nucleotides) under Fusobacteriota bacterium. Its description in RNAcentral is "Fusobacteria bacterium partial 16S ribosomal RNA". It matches the Rfam family "Bacterial small subunit ribosomal RNA", at positions 355 to 776 of the family's 1533-position model. Lineage: Bacteria; Fusobacteriati; Fusobacteriota. The record is from RNAcentral.
UGGGGAAUAUUGCACAAUGGGCGAAAGCCUGAUGCAGCGACGCCGCGUGAGUGAAGAAGUAUUUCGGUAUGUAAAGCUCUAUCAGCAGGGAAGAAAAUGACGGUACCUGACUAAGAAGCCCCGGCUAACUACGUGCCAGCAGCCGCGGUAAUACGUAGGGGGCAAGCGUUAUCCGGAUUUACUGGGUGUAAAGGGAGCGUAGACGGCGAAGCAAGUCUGAAGUGAAAACCCAGGGCUCAACCCUGGGACUGCUUUGGAAACUGUUUUGCUAGAGUGUCGGAGAAGUAAGUGGAAUUCCUAGUGUAGCGGUGAAAUGCGUAGAUAUUAGGAGGAACACCAGUGGCGAAGGCGGCUUACUGGACGAUAACUGACGUUGAGGCUCGAAAGCGUGGGGAGCAAACAGG